RNAcentral lists this non-coding RNA (237 nucleotides) under Perkinsus marinus ATCC 50983. RNAcentral's name for it is "Eukaryotic small subunit ribosomal RNA". It matches the Rfam family "Eukaryotic small subunit ribosomal RNA", at positions 1591 to 1831 of the family's 1831-position model. Lineage: Eukaryota; Perkinsozoa; Perkinsida; Perkinsidae. The record is from Rfam by way of RNAcentral.
UAUUCGUCUUCACGAGGAAUUCCUAGUAAAUGCAAGUCAUCAGCUUGCGUUGAUUACGUCCCUGCCCUUUGUACACACCGCCCGUCGCUCCUACCGAUUGAGUGAUCCGGUGAGCUGUCCGGACUGCGAUUAGUUCAGUUUCUGUUCUCUUCGCGGGAAGUUCUGCAAACCUUAUCACUUAGAGGAAGGAGAAGUCGUAACAAGGUUUCCGUAGGUGAACCUGCGGAAGGAUCAUUC